RNAcentral lists this ribosomal RNA (253 nucleotides) under uncultured bacterium. RNAcentral's name for it is "partial 16S ribosomal RNA". It matches the Rfam family "Bacterial small subunit ribosomal RNA", at positions 524 to 776 of the family's 1533-position model. The record is from RNAcentral.
UACGGGGGGAGCAAGCGUUGUUCGGAUUUACUGGGCGUAAAGAGCUCGUAGGCGGUUUGUUGCGUCGGCUGUGAAAUCCCGAGGCUCAACCUCGGGUCUGCAGUCGAUACGAGCAAACUAGAGUGUUGCAGGGGAGACUGGAAUUCCUGGUGUAGCGGUGAAAUGCGCAGAUAUCAGGAGGAACACCGGUGGCGAAGGCGGGUCUCUGGGCAACACCUGACACUGAGGCACGAAAGCUAGGGGAGCAAACAGG